Molecule: ribosomal RNA, 497 nt
Filed under: uncultured bacterium
Lineage: Bacteria
Description: partial 16S ribosomal RNA
Rfam family: Bacterial small subunit ribosomal RNA
Source: RNAcentral
GAUGAACGCUGGCGGCGUGCCUAAUACAUGCAAGUCGAGCGAACAGACGAGGAGCUUGCUCCUCUGACGUUAGCGGCGGACGGGUGAGUAACACGUGGAUAACCUACCUAUAAGACUGGGAUAACUUCGGGAAACCGGAGCUAAUACCGGAUAAUAUAUUUAACCGCAUGGUUCAAUAGUGAAAGACGGCUUUGCUGUCACUUAUCGAUGGAUCCGCGUCGCAUUAGCUAGUUGGUAAGGUAACGGCUUACCAAGGCAACGAUGCGUAGCCGACCUGAGAGGGUGAUCGGCCACACUGGAACUGAGACACGGUACAAGCUCCUACGGGAGGCAGCAGUAGGGAAUCUUCCGCAAUGGGCGAAAGCCUGACGGAGCAACGCCGCGUGAGUGAUGAAGGUCUUCGGAGCGUAAAACUCUGUUAUUAGGGAAGAACAAAUGUGUAAGUAACUAUGCACGUCUUGACGGUACCUAAUCAGAAAGCCACGGCUAACUACGUG